Molecule: ribosomal RNA, 460 nt
Filed under: uncultured bacterium
Lineage: Bacteria
Description: partial 16S ribosomal RNA
Rfam family: Bacterial small subunit ribosomal RNA
Source: RNAcentral
CCUACGGGUGGCAGCAGUGAGGAAUAUUGGUCAAUGGGCUUACGCCUGAACCAGCCAAGUCGCGUGAGGGAAGACUGCCCUAUGGGUUGUAAACCUCUUUUGUCAGGGAGCAACGCCGGCUACGUGUAGCCGGACUGAGAGUACCUGAAGAAAAAGCAUCGGCUAACUCCGUGCCAGCAGCCGCGGUAAUACGGAGGAUGCGAGCGUUAUCCGGAUUUAUUGGGUUUAAAGGGUGCGUAGGCGGAAUGCCAAGUCAGCGGUAAAAUCGCGGGGCUCAACCUCGUUGCGCCGUUGAAACUGGCGUUCUUGAGUGGGCGAGAAGUAUGCGGAAUGCGUGGUGUAGCGGUGAAAUGCAUAGAUAUCGCGCAGAACCCCGAUUGCGAAGGCAGCGUGCCGUGCCGCCACUGACGCUGAGGCACGAAAGCGCGGGGAUCGAACAGGAUUAGAUACCCCUGUAGUC